AGUUAAUGAGCUUGAAUAAGCAUAUAUUUUGAAAAUAUAAAAUAGAAACUAUUAAAAUUUUCUAUUAACUU
This 71-nucleotide transfer RNA is filed under the name Xylota coquilletti. RNAcentral's name for it is "tRNA-Ser". The record is from RNAcentral. Lineage: Eukaryota; Metazoa; Arthropoda; Insecta; Diptera; Syrphidae.